GACGUAGGUGGCGAACGUUAUCCGGAAUUAUUGGGCGUAAAGGGUGCGUAGGUGGCCCGGCAAGUUAUUAGUGGUAAAUCGAGGCUCAACCUCGUGGAAACUAGUAAUACUGUCCGGCUUGAGUGCAGGAGAGGUUAACGGAACUCUAUGUGGAGGGGUAAAAUCCGUUGAUCCAUAGAAGACCACCAGUGGCGAAGGCGGCUUGCCAGAACGCGCUCGACGGUGAGGGAUGAAAGCUGGGGGAGCAAACCGG
Molecule: ribosomal RNA, 253 nt
Filed under: uncultured bacterium
Lineage: Bacteria
Description: partial 16S ribosomal RNA
Rfam family: Bacterial small subunit ribosomal RNA
Source: RNAcentral